This 229-nucleotide ribosomal RNA is filed under the name Klebsiella pneumoniae. RNAcentral's name for it is "partial 16S ribosomal RNA". It matches the Rfam family "Bacterial small subunit ribosomal RNA", at positions 1077 to 1306 of the family's 1533-position model. The record is from RNAcentral. Lineage: Bacteria; Pseudomonadati; Pseudomonadota; Gammaproteobacteria; Enterobacterales; Enterobacteriaceae.
GGGUUAAGUCCCGCAACGAGCUCAACCCUUAUCCUUUGUUGCCAGCGGUUAGGCCGGGAACUCAAAGGAGAAUGCCAGUGAUAAACUGGAGGAAGGUGGGGAUGACGUCAAGUAAUCAUGGCCCUUACGACCAGGGCUACACACGUGCUACAAUGGAAUAUACAAAGAGAAGCGACCUCGCGAGAGCAAGCGGACCUCAUAAAGUAUGUCGUAGUCCGGAUUGGAGUCU